Molecule: ribosomal RNA, 253 nt
Filed under: uncultured bacterium
Lineage: Bacteria
Description: partial 16S ribosomal RNA
Rfam family: Bacterial small subunit ribosomal RNA
Source: RNAcentral
UACAGAGGUCUCAAGCGUUGUUCGGAUUCAUUGGGCGUAAAGGGCGCGUAGGCUGCGGGGCAAGUCGGGUGUGAAAUCUCAGAGCUCAACUCUGAAACUGCACUCGAUACUGCUUUGCUCGAGGACUGGAGAGGAGAUUGGAAUUCACGGUGUAGCAGUGAAAUGCGUAGAUAUCGUGAGGAAGACCAGUGGCGAAGGCGAAUCUCUGGACAGUUACUGACACUGAGGCACGAAGGCCAGGGGAGCAAACGGG